Molecule: long non-coding RNA, 3457 nt
Organism: Neofelis nebulosa (Clouded leopard)
Lineage: Eukaryota; Metazoa; Chordata; Mammalia; Carnivora; Felidae
Exons: 5
Source: RefSeq, a predicted model, not a curated record
CAAAGAAACUAAAGCUAAAAUGUGGGUCUGUUAGUAAACAUGUUUUUUUGCUUUAAAAGAUUUACUGUGAAUAAACAUUUCUAGAAAUUAUAAAACGUUUUCAUAAAUUUGCCAAUAAAAAAAAUGCUGGUAUAAUAAAUAGUUCACAAUUGCUUACUACUUAGAUUUCAUUAGACAUUAAAGUUUCUACUGGCUAAAAAUUCCAAAGAAUAUUUAUGGUUAAAGCCACUAGAAAUAAGGAAAACUCUCCAUAUGUAAGUAGGAUGUAUGUUUUCAGUAGAAGAAAGUAUGGGAAAUACAUUUUUCUUGAGGGAAAAGAAAGUAAUUUUGUCUUAGAGGUUAGAAAAGAGGGAAAACAUGGGACAAAAUCUAGGUGUAAAAAAGGAAGUUGUAAAAGAUUUCUAGAAAAGGAAUCUUUGCAAAGGAAUUUUAUGAGUGGUCAGGCUGGCUAAGAUUGGAAUAAAUUUAAGUAAAUGAGUUUUAAUAUUCAAAAGUACACUGGUGCAAAGUGAAAAUUGGGUUUACUCUUUGUUAAAAGAACAGUUUUCUUAAAUUAUUGGGUUCCUCUUGAUAAAGGAUUGUAAACAGGUUUUUUGUUUUGUUUUUUACCUUUUUAAAUUAUCUGCCUAGAAAACAAAGACUAUGUUUUAACAAAAUAAUUUCUCAUGCUUCAUGGUAUCCUUACCAUCAGGUCUUUGAUUACUUAAGAAAACUGAGUCAUCUUAAUAUUAAAAGAUCUAAGUUUUGCUCACAAUUAGGUAAACUUCUGCACUUGCCUUUGAAAUCUUUUAUUGUCGUUUUGGUUAAAUAAAUAAUGUUUCAUAAUGUUCUGUGAUCAGAUUUAAUCAAGUGUUCAAAUUUGGAUAUUUUUUAAUAGACUUUCCAAAAUCAAAUUCUAAAAUGAAGUCUUUUGACAACAAACUAACUUUGAGGUUUUAUAAAGGGUCCCUGGAACAAUUAAAAGGAUUUGUUCUCCUCAUUUAAAAAAGAGAUAUUAAACUAAUUAGGUCUAUUGGGUAUGUUAAAUCACAUGGGAAGCAUUGUCAAAUAAGUGAUGCUAAACCUUCUUUGAUUAUAUUUGUGUAAAUAUAUGUUGUUGAAAUAAGUGUUCUAGAAAGUAUAUCAAACUCCUAAGAAUCUGGUAUGUCCUGAUACGUUAUUUCUUAUAAUUUUAAUUAUCUAAUUAUCUUCUUUUUGUGUGACAGAAAUAACCAAAUUUCCUGGUCAAUUGCACUGUAAUGAACUUGAAUCAGAUCCUUAACCAUGGCCAUUACUAAGUCUUGUAUCAUUUACAGACAGUUAUAUUUUAUUUGGAUGCUUUUGCAAAGAUGUUCCUGAAGAAAUGUUUCAUCUUCAAGGAGAUUCAUGAAAAAGACAAAAAUAUAGGUGUCUCAUAAUUUAAAUAUCACAAAACUGAAGUUGGUAAAAACUUCCAGAAUUAAUGGGAAAAACAGGAUGAAGCAAAACAAGAAUUACUUGGGACAAAAUAAAUUGAAGAGAAUGAUUAAGAUUUUUAUGACUUUUUGUUUGAAACAUUACUAAGUUUUAAAAAAAAAUUUUUCCAGAUUUAAGGAAAAAAUUUUUAAACUGCUAUACAGUAGCUUGGUAAAUUACACCUUUGUAAGCAGAACUGAAACAUUUAUCUUUUUCUCCCAACCUGAUCCCUCAGAAUUCAACUCAGAAACAGUAUCCUUAUAUUUUCAUGACAAUAUAUGUAUUGCAUACAUUCAGUAAGAAUCUGCUUUUCUUGCAACAGGAUACAAUUAGAUACACUGGUUAUAUUAACAAGGCUUUGACAGGAAUGUCAUAUUUGAGAGAAACAUGCAUGGACUCAGAUAUGACCAGACAGCUUUAAGGAACUAAGGUUGGCUUUUUUGGAGCCAAAUAAAGCCCCUGGGAAAACAGCCUGACACCCUGCUUUACAGGGUUCCCAGAAGCCUUACCAGGUAAGUAAAGGCCAUUUCCUGGCAGGGGCAAGAACCCAAGGAUAUUUUGAGGACCAUGAAAAGAGGGAGUAACACGAAUCUUUAGGUAUUGCAGAUAAAGACUGACAGCUGUGUUUCUUAGUCUUGAGAGACUGUUGACAUUUCUCUAUGAAAAGUUCCAGCAAAAAUUUUAAGAAGUGUUUAUGACCAAAUGCUGUUCUUGCUGCAAAUAAUCAGAUCAAGUUUACUAAAACUAAACUUAUUUUAUAAAUAAGACUUUAUCUGGCUAAUUUUGAAAAUAGGGUGACUUCAGAGAGAAAAAUUAUGUCUCAGUAACACAGCUUUGUAGGUAUUAGAUCAUGGUUCUUUUGUCUUUGAGGUUUUGUUUCCUACCUGUAAACUGGACUAGAUCCCAGAUUCUAGUUUCCUCCAUAGCAUGGCUACAACUCUCCAAAAUAACAUUUCUAAUUUUCUCCCAUCCUUUUGACUUGGAAUCAUUGAGAACCAAAACUUCCCUUUUUCCUGAAGCUCUGCAAACCGAAUAUGAAUGACUUUAUAUAAACUUCAAGAAAAUCACCACAGCAGCCCAUAUAUAAUUUUCAUGCCUGCUGCUCUAUGGGCCACUCCAAAAGAUCACCAGAGACAUUCACACUACAAACCAGGAAACUCUGUCAGAUUGUCACUGCCUGCUCUCCAUCUGAAGAUGCUUUGAGCCUGCUAUCUAUGCAGGUGUUUCUCCACAGGCCUGGAGGUCCAUGGCUGCCCAAAGCUGGCAAACUAGGUAGAGCUAGAGAAAUCUGAACUGCUUGACCAUGGCUGGAUUGGGCAGGCUGGCCCAGGUGUCCCCCAAAAAGAGACAGCUGGGAACCUCAAUUGCUGCAGAAACCCAAGAUCACCCAAAAUAGUAGAGAAAAAAUGGUCUACCCCAUCAGUUGGCGUAGGGGCGGGAUAAAUUUCCCAGACUGGAUACUGUUUGCUUUGAGGCUGCUGCAGCUGAGAGAUGCCAACACACUGAUCAACAGCUGGCAGAAGUUAUAGAUUUCAUUGUGUCUUUGAAGUGUAAACACAGCCCACAAUCUCUUGAAAAUGAAAAAGAAAAAAAUGGAAGGAAAGAGGCCUUGUUAAAAAUAGAAAGUGCAAUUAGUACUCUUGCCCAAACUAUAGAUCACAGCUUCUAGAAGAUUACUUCCAGGGACAAAUACCAGUCCUAAAAGACCUCUCCAAAAAUAGCAAAUUACUUGAAUCAUCUGAGUAAAUUAAUAUUCCCCCUACGAUUCAAAAACUGUGAACUUACAGGCUCUGGUUUAAGAUUGUGAUGUAAGAUCCUGAACUCACCUCCUCCGCAGACACACCAAAUAUACACCUAUUGCUAGAGUAAUUCCCUCUGAAGAACUGAGGGCUGAGAAGCUCCUGCACAAUCAAAGACUGAGAGAAGGGCAGGAAAGAUGGAGACACUGGAAGAAAGGAACUCUCACUUUGAUGCUAUAGAUUGCAGCAAGGAGGAACAGUACCCAAGGGAUUAUGAACAGAUC